Molecule: unclassified non-coding RNA, 312 nt
Filed under: Hevea brasiliensis (rubber tree)
Lineage: Eukaryota; Viridiplantae; Streptophyta; Magnoliopsida; Malpighiales; Euphorbiaceae
Source: RNAcentral
UAACACCCUUUUGUGGGAUUUUUUUAAGGGUUAAAAUUAGGUACACGUAUUCAUCGUUUUCUAGCAAUUGAGGUUUCUGAGUUUUGGAUUUGGCAGCUCGCCAUUUCAGUAGAGCGUUUACAGCUUUGUCUACUGUUUUGGGGCUUACACUAGAAGAUGGUGGCGUCGCGGCCAUUGAUGGCUACAGGAAGAGGAGGAGAGAGAGCGAAAGAGCCUAUGCUCCAGCAGCACUUAAGCAGAGGAGAAGGCGUUGUUUUGGGGAGAGAAGUGAGCAAUAAGGGUUUUUCGGCUGCUACAGGAAUGAGGUGGUUG